AUGAAAUGACAGAUUGAAUCUGCUUUCAUCAGUCAACAGAACUGAUGACAACUGACAUUGAUUCCAACGCUGAUGAUGCCAGCACUGUUGCAAGCAAGCAUUGGAGUGAGGUGGGAAGGGAAGUAGUUUGGCAUGAAGAUACCCAACUGUUAUCAAACUCAAAGCAUCCAUCUCAUAUCAGUCCUACCUGGUCAGCAUUGGCUCACCAGGACAUUUUCACAUCUCUUGCUUCACAAACAACACAUUCAAGUGCCACUGCCUGCUGUAAGAUGGGAGAAGAUUCCCCUGCUAUAGGUGUGUUCUGGGACAUCGAGAACUGCCCAGUCCCAAAAUGGAAAUCAGCCUUGAGUGUAGUUCAGCGGAUACGGGACCGCUUCUUCCAUGGUCACCGAGAGGCAGAGUUCAUGUGUGUUUGUGAUAUCUUAAAGGAACGCAAGGACAUCAUAGAGGAAUUGAACUCAGCACAGGUAGAUAUUAUACACAUCAGUGCCAGCAGUAAGAAUGCAGCCGACGACAAGAUUAAACAGAGUCUACGACGUUUUGCCGACACUCACCCACCACACACCAAGGUUAUUCUCAUCUCAGGUGACGUCAACUUUUCCAUGGACCUUUCUGACCUCCGACACCGAAAAAAUUUCCACGUCAUCCUCAUCCAUCGUGCACACUCUCACCCCUCCCUCAUCGCAUGUGCUAAUGAGCACUUCUGUUUCGAGGAGCUUGUGGAGGAUGUUCCUUGUCGAUCACCAUCUAAGACAUUUGAGGGACUGUCAGAAGUAGAAGUACGGGGUUUCCCCUCCCACAUGCAUACUGAUAAGCUGAGGGCCAGGCUUAAGAAGCUGUCUGAGAACUGUGGUGGGCGUGUCACCAGCAUCACCCAGGACUAUGCCUUGCUCAAGUUCAGCAGUCAUGAAGUUGCACUCAGAGCUCAGAAGAGAAUGGAUGGGGAGGAUGUGUUUGGCCAGAAGAUUAUUGCCCAGAUACCAGCUACAUCAAACACAGGGGACAGCACAGUAGGAUCGCCUCACACAGGUUAUACAAAGAGGUCUAAACUUUCGAUGCCCGGUUUUGGAAGCCCUAAACAUUAUAAUCGACACAGCAGUCCAUCCGGCGACAGACGGACAUUCCGCAACAACUCCCCAUAUCGGGGGUGUGUGAGUGCGCCUGUAGCCAGUGGGUACACCUCAAGCCCUGAGGCCAACAACAGGCCAUCAGAUGUUGAUGCUGACAAACAGCCUGACAACUAUUCUACAAACGGGAAGCGUCCAAGUCGAGAAAUGUUGAUGCUGCAGCAGCAGCGCUACCAGGAGAGUCAGCAUAAGCUGAAUGGGGGCUGUGGAGGAGGGGGAGAUGCUGGGGAUGAGAUGGACGGUACAGGCGAACUGGAUAACCACAGAUACGCUCAGCGAGUUGGGCACUGGUCUGGAGAUGAGAAAGGGAAAAUACAAAGCUACAAGAGAAGGCAUUUCAGUGGAUCUCACUCAGAUGAACAGACCGAGAACUAUCAUUACUAUUCUGCCCUAAGCCAUAAUUCAAGCUUUACCUAUGGGAGUGGCAGCCCUAUCCACAACCCACAGCGUGUCCGACAUGGCAGUGGUCCUUUUGGAUGUCGUCCCAAAAGUGUCCCAUAUGAGUUGGACCACCCAUAUGGCUCUUCAUGGCCUCCACCGCAGGACAAUGAGUUCUUCCACAGAGGGAGCCCAAACUUCCGUUCGUACAGCCCUCGGCGCUACAACUGCAUGAACUCAAACCAAAACAAUUGUAACUAUCAACAAAACAACUACCACAACAACUUUCACAACAACAUCAAUAGUAGCAACAGCUUCCAGCCCAUCAUGCCUGGUGCAUCGCCCCCAGGGUCCCCGCUGACAGAUGGCUCCUCACCCCAGGGGAUGGGCCCAGUAGAGCUAGUGGUCACAAACCUUGACUACAAUAUCAGUGCCAAGGAGUGGAGGAAGAUCCUGUUCACCACCUUUCAUCCUCAUGUCAAGGUUUUGAAUGUGCAUGUGAAGACCCAGCUGGACAACACUUGUAUUGGCAUGAUUAAAGUCCCCACCAUAGAGGAAGCACGUUUUGCAAUCUCCCAGUUUCACAGAAAGAAAAUUGGCUACAAGCGUAUCCAGGUCAGCCUGAAGACGGACGAUGCCCACACAGCAAGCGCAAACAUCCGUGCCGAAGCCAUUGCACUGCUGCAGGAGGCUAAGGGCAAUGUUCUGCCACUCUUCAAGUUCAUCGAACUGUUUGACAAGAGGUACCACAGAUCCAUCAGUGUCUCCGAGCUGUACAAGAUGCGUGACACGCUCGACAUCCGUGAGCAGGGUGGGGCAGGUAGGAUGGUGUAUCUGGCCCCAGUACUUGCCAAACCACCCACCCCACUAGAGGCCUCAGACACAGAGGGGGAGGAUGUUUUGGAGGAGCCUGUCUGUGCCAGUCACUGCCCCGAGGGAAGUGUGUUCUAUGCGGAAGCCAUGAACUCCUCAAUGUUGCCCAAUGUCCGCAUCCAGUUGAAGACGCUCGCUGCCCAAGUCCACUCCAUGCUGCAGUCUCACAAUGGCCACAUGCCACUCAUGAGUUUCCCGGCCUGUUAUGCUGCUGAGUUCAGUGCCCUGGUGUCAGUGAAGGAGGGCGUGCCCCUGGAGCACCUGAUCAGCUGUGUGCCCGGCAUACAGGUGCAAGUGUCUCGGCUGGGUGUCAAGAAGGUGCAGUGGAUGGAGAACCAACCUCCCCAGGCUAUAGAGUUCGGUCGGCAGUCAGCUACAGCCAGCCCCCUGUUGUCUCACCAGCUGGGGCAGAUAAGCCGCGAGGUGACAGAUCUUCUCAAACACAGUGCCAACUGCCGAAUGCCAGUGUCCAAGUUCAUUCCAGCAUAUCACCAUCAUUUCGGGCGUCAGUGUCGUGUAGCAGACUACGGGUACACCAAACUCAUGGAGCUUUUCGAGGCUAUUCCAUAUGCUCUGCAGGUUCUUGGUACCGGAGAUCGUAAGAUCCUGACUUUGAGUCACCGUGCUCAGAUUCGUCGCUUCACUGCUGAUCUACUCAAGGUGCUGAAGGGUCAGCCUGCCAAACAGCUGGCAGUGGAGGAGUUCCCUGAGGCUUUCGAAGCCGUGUUUGGCAAGGCCUGGGAUGUUACGGAGUAUGGAGUCUGCUACAUCGAGGAUCUUCUCAUGGAGAUCCCUCCAUCAACUCUCCUGAUGACUGUGGAGGAAGGGAAGUCUUUUAUUUCGGUUCCCAAGAGAGACCAGACAUCGGAGGAGAUGGAGCGCACUAAACAGUUUGCCCUAGAAGUAGUUGACCUGCUGAAGCACAACCCGCGAUGCCGCAUGCCAUUUAACAAGUUUAUCCCUGCGUACCAUCACCACUUCGGCAGACAGUGUAGAGUAGCCGACUAUGGCUUCACUAAGCUUACUGACCUCUUCGAAGCUGUGCCUCAGGUUGUGGAGCUGGAGGAGGAGGGUGAUGAGAGACUGCUGCGGCUCACGCAGCCAGAGAUGAGGAAGGUUCUGUCUGAACAGAUCACAAACCUGCUCAAGAUACAGCCAGGUCAUGGCAUGGUGAAGGACGAACUUUUACCAGCCUUCACUCGCCAGUUCAGCUUCAAUCUUCACCUACAGGAUUUCCAGGUGGUGUCACUAGAUGCUCUGCUGGCCAGACUGAGACACAUCAUCAGUAUUGAGACCUACAACAAUGUGGAAUAUGUUGUGUUGAUGAAGACCACAGAGUUGCCUCCCCUUGCCCUUCGUGUUCUGCAGCUGCUAAUGGAUCAGAGCUCUGGCUGUCUCCCCCUGGUGGAACUGUGCAGCUGGUACAAGACCACCUUUUCUGAAGAGUGUGAUGUCCAGACCAUCAAGGAGGAACUUGUAGAUUUCGUUCAUGUGUCGGGGGACGAUGAUGGCUCAGCCGUGAUCCGCCUGACAGCACUUCAGACUCUUGCUCGAGAUAUCCGCCACAUGCUGAUGCGCCAUGGCCGAAUCCCACUCCACCAGUUUGACAAGAUAUUCUUCGAGGUGCAUGGAGUGGAGAUGAAGCCAGCGCUGCAUGGGUUCGACUGCACCCACACCCUCCUGCAGGCCAUCCCCCAUGUUGUGUCUGUUCGAGGGAAGGGUAACCGCAAAUACGUGCAGCUCUCCCCAGCCAUUAAAGUGCCAGCUACUCUGCCAGCCUCGCUCAAAGCCAGUCCAGCUCGCAUCUUCUUUUCCGGGGACCACAAGGCACUGAAUGCUGGGAAGGGAGAGUCCUCGAACGAUUCUGGUGUCAAUGAUGCUUUAGAUGAGGAGCUUGACAGGUCCCAUGUUGAUGUACUGAGCCAGCCAGUGCCCUCUGCCAUCCCAUCCCCUGAGCUCAGACCAGAUCUUCACCAUGCCAAGGACCUCAUUCAGCUUGACUCCCCACAAGACCAAGACAUCUUGUUUCUGACUGAUGAGGAGAAGCGAGGACAGAAAACUCCGCUUUGUCUGACUCCAACAUCUGAGCUGCUGCAGUUUGCUGCCCAGUGUCUCGUCAUCCGACCACCAGAGGGAGCUGGCAGCAGUCGCAGUACGUCACCUGCUGGUGACAGCCAACAGGGACUCGCUAGAAAUAGUGCACUCACCCUGGCUGUCACGGCAACAGAAUUCGGUGACCAUGACCCUUCGUCAUCCAAUGAACUGCUGGAGCUACUUAAAGGAGGCUGGUGGAAGGCAAGUCCGGAACAACUGGAAGAAGUAAGCAGAACUUUCCGUGUUACAGCCUCGGGACGGGAGAGUCCAGCCGAUCCAGCAUUACGUAGCCAUGGACACACUCCCAGUAUAGAGCCCGCAGAGAAGUUACCUAAUGGUGAAGAGUCUAAGCCAAGUGUUAGCUUGGCUACCUCCAUCCUAAUGGAAGUCUCUGCCUCUGAAGGAGGCAGCAUCAACACCACUCUGAAGGAUGCAAGCAGCAGUUUUAGCAGUGAUGAAAGUAGUGAGCAGAAUGUUGCCCACGAUGUGUCCUUUGACGAGAUGUUUAAAAUGAGUAUGCCCCUGGAGACAAGCUCCACUAAGUCCAGCACGGGGUCGACCACCGACACCCCAGUCUCCUCACCGAGGAAGUCCCGCUCCAGGAUGGCAGCUAGGUUUGUUAACCCCAUACACAAUGACAGUGCUUGAGACAAAGAGUUGCUUGUGUAGGACAGCAUGGCUAGUGUCAGGGUGGCCCUGCAACACAAGAUGGGAAGUGUUCCAUGAAGUAUUUGAAUAAUAUCCGGUUCAUGGAGUGACACUAGAAGGAGGCCAUGUUGGAAUGUGAAGAAUGAAGUGUACUCUUACAAGAUGUAUUUGUCAGCAUGCGUGUCGCCUGGAUGAGACAUGCGGGCAGAAGUUUAUGUAAAUCCAUGAAGACUGUCACUGGGGAUGUAACAUUUUACCCUGUAAAACAAGUUUUACGCUUUUAGAGUGAUUACAAACCUAGACCUAGCAUCUUGACGACAUAUUGUAGAUUUCAUCACUGAAUUUUAGUGUUUUAAAUUAUAGUUUCACUUAUGCUUGCGUAUCUUCCUGUAUGAGAAAUGUUUUAAUUUUGGUAAUUCUUACAUGAAGAAUGUACAUGAAUUAGAAAAUGAAUUUAAUUUGAAUGUUUGGAAGUAUGUCCUAUUGAAUUAGUUUUGCCAUGUAUUGGAAAUACAAUACAGAUACCGCUGCCUCCAGGCACAAGUCACAUUGUAUCGGCUAGUCUCCAGGUACAAGUCACAUUGUAUCGGCUAGUCUCCAGGUACAAGUCACAUUGUAUCGGCUAGUCUCCAGGUAGGAUUAGGUUUGUGUACUUGUAUAUACCAAGUACUUGUUUCUAGUUUCCAGGACACACAAUGGGAUGUGUUGUUUAUGUUCAGUGGUGUUGUAGAGGAAGGGACAUGAUGGGACUCGCACCUAAUGACCGCAGUUGAAACCUUGCAGUGUUACUGUAUCUCAGUCUGUUGAAGAAAACAGUUUUGUUGAGUUUACAGAUAUUAUCGAAUCUAAUGAUUGCAUUAGUUUCAUGUUAACAGGGAGUUUUGAAAGCUGUUGCUGUGGUAACCACACUAAUCAAAGUGAUUCCUGAUUGGUGCCGUGAUUACACAGCUGGCUAUCUGGUUGCAGGCCAACACUGGACCAUGUAAACGCAGUAUCGCCUGCAUCAUGGUCGGCCAGGUCAUGGGUGACGUAGCUGGAUACACAAGUUCAAUGUCUUUCCCUUCUUUGGCAACUUGUCUUGUAUGUAUUACAAGUGUGAUGGUUCAUAUUUAGUUACUAAAAGUUAUUUGUACUUAUUUACUUAUUUUCGCUAUAUUAGUACAUUUUCGUAUGUAUUUCUCCAAGUGCUAAAGUGUCAUGUAGAGGUACAUGACGGUAGUGAUCUGGUACACCAUCUUACAGGUGUAAGAGGGGAUGAUGCUGGCUCUAGGCCUCAAUCUUGAGGCAAAUUCAUGAAGGAAUAGGUUUAUGAAGUGUAUUUGCAUUAAGUCCAGUUCAAGGUAAUUCCUGCAUGUGUGCAUGCAGUGUAUUGUACAUGAUUCUCAAUGAAUUUGCUGCUUUUCUAUAAUAAAAGUGCAAAAAUAUAAAAAGUUCUGAAUUUA
RNAcentral lists this unclassified non-coding RNA (6562 nucleotides) under Haliotis rufescens (red abalone). RNAcentral's name for it is "meiosis regulator and mRNA stability factor 1-like, transcript variant X3". Lineage: Eukaryota; Metazoa; Mollusca; Gastropoda; Lepetellida; Haliotidae. The record is from RNAcentral.